Molecule: ribosomal RNA, 499 nt
Filed under: uncultured bacterium
Lineage: Bacteria
Description: partial 16S ribosomal RNA
Rfam family: Bacterial small subunit ribosomal RNA
Source: RNAcentral
GACGAACGCUGGCGGCGUGCCUAAUACAUGCAAGUCGAGCGGACCGAACAGGAGCUUGCUCUUGUUCGGUUAGCGGCGGACGGGUGAGUAACACGUGGGUAACCUGCCCGUAAGACCGGGAUAACUCCGGGAAACCGGAGCUAAUACCGGAUAACACCGAAGACCGCAUGGUCUUUGGUUGAAAGGCGGCUUCGGCUGCCACUUACGGAUGGGCCCGCGGCGCAUUAGCUAGUUGGUGAGGGAACGGCUCACCAAGGCGACGAUGCGUAGCCGGCCUGAGAGGGUGACGGGCCAAACUGGGACUGAGACACGGCCCAGACUCCUACGGGAGGCAGCAGUAGGGAAUCUUCCGCAAUGGACGAAAGUCUGACGGAGCGACGCCGCGUGAGCGAAGAAGGUCUUCGGAUCGUAAAGCUCUGUUGUUAGGGAAGAAGAAGCGUCGUUCGAACAGGGCGGCGCGGUGACGGUACCUAACGAGAAAGCCCCGGCUAACUACGUG